Molecule: long non-coding RNA, 459 nt
Filed under: Mytilus galloprovincialis (Mediterranean mussel)
Lineage: Eukaryota; Metazoa; Mollusca; Bivalvia; Mytilida; Mytilidae
Source: RNAcentral
AAUAUAUUACUUUACCAAUUUUGAUAAACUUUCGUUUAUCUUAUGACAAAGAAUAUCAACUGAGGACUAUUGAAGUAUUAGGUGGCCAUCUUGAAUGGUGGCCAUUUUGGAAACGUAAAUUUCCAAAAUAUCAUUAUUCGCUAUACUGAAUCGUUUUUUUUUGAAUUGAUACUAAGUUUUAUAUGCAUUUACAACUAGUUUUGCGAAUCAUUUAUUUAUGACUGUUGCUAUUCAUAUAGGAUAUAUUCACCAAGUGUUCAAAUAAGGCAUACAUAUGUUAACAAAUAAAUGUAUUUAAAAAAUACGCGUAAAUUCUUUUAAUUGCAGUUUAGCAUGAGGGCUUAGUUACUUUUUUACCCCCCAAAAAAUGCGUAUAUACAAUAUAAGUUAUGACCACUGUAUGUUGAAAAGGAAUAAUACUAGGUAUUAAAGUCACUGGAGCUGAAAAAAUAAUAAAUA